UGGAUAGUCCCAAAAGUCUUGAAUUUAGUCUCUUUUAUAUAGUAGGAUAUACUUUUUGCGUUAAUCUAUCGUUGCCGUGAUGACUGAUUCAUAAAUCUUUUUUGUUUAAACGGCUUGAUGUUUCACUUAUUAUUUGGACAACUUGUUUAUCACAAAAAAACCAACAUUUUCUUAUACUGACGGAAGCCGUUUAGAAAUUGAACGUUGCUGGGAAUGAAAUGUCAAUUUUACUAACAUGUUUUAGUAAAGGUUUUGUUUCAUUACUAAAAUAGUUAAAGGUUUAAAGUUUGAUGAGUUGACAGUCCAGGUUUUGUUUCAUUAAAUUCUCAAAAAUUUAAUAUACUAACCUUUCCAACUUUGAAUGGUGAUUUCAGUUUGAGGGCCCCCAAAAGUCUUUUUUUUUUUUUUUGUUAAAAUAUUAAAUAUUAUACCAGAUUUUGAGUUUGUGACAGAAGAUACAUAAAUAUUAGUAGCCGAAUGCAAAAAUGAAACUAAACACAUAAUCUUGAC
Molecule: long non-coding RNA, 510 nt
Filed under: Brassica rapa (field mustard)
Lineage: Eukaryota; Viridiplantae; Streptophyta; Magnoliopsida; Brassicales; Brassicaceae
Description: long non-coding RNA (BRAP_LNC004799)
Source: RNAcentral